Molecule: ribosomal RNA, 253 nt
Filed under: uncultured bacterium
Lineage: Bacteria
Description: partial 16S ribosomal RNA
Rfam family: Bacterial small subunit ribosomal RNA
Source: RNAcentral
UACAGAGGUCCCAAGCGUUGUUCGGAUUCAUUGGGCGUAAAGGGUGCGUAGGCGGCGCGGUAAGUCGGGUGUGAAAUCUCGGAGCUUAACUCCGAAACUGCAUUCGAUACUGCCGUGCUUGAGGACUGGAGAGGAGACUGGAAUUUACGGUGUAGCGGUGAAAUGCGUAGAUAUCUGGAGGAACACCGGUGGCGAAGGCGGCGUCCUGGACCAACACUGACACUGAUGAGCGAAAGCCAGGGGAGCAAACGGG